GGCAAGUAGUAUAGGGUGAGUACGCCUUGAUAGAGGAGGCUCCGGUUGAAAUCCGGACAUUGCCA
This 65-nucleotide transfer RNA is filed under the name Caudoviricetes sp. Its description in RNAcentral is "tRNA-OTHER". Lineage: Duplodnaviria; Heunggongvirae; Uroviricota; Caudoviricetes. RNAcentral also lists the same sequence under 1 other name. The record is from RNAcentral.